This is a long non-coding RNA of Gallus gallus (chicken), 387 nucleotides long. The record is from Ensembl. Lineage: Eukaryota; Metazoa; Chordata; Aves; Galliformes; Phasianidae.
CCCUUCCCCAAUGGCAUCUUCAGGCUGAGAAGCAUCAAAGAGAGUGAGCAACUGUCUCGAGCCUUAGAAGGAAAAAAGGCAGGGAGAGAAGAAGGAAAAAGCAAUUCUCUUCAAGAAUUUCAUGGUGGCAUUCUCUCCAACUGCUUCUCCCAUGGACCAGAAAUCAUACCUAAUUCAGAGAGUAACUUUUGGAUGAAGGAAAAAAAAAGCAAGGAGAGGAACGUCAGUGGCUUUUGUUGUUGUUUUUCUCCACUAUUUGCACAACCACUAGAGGGCUUCAUCAUGCUCUUGGUUCUGGAGCAAUUUGGUUGAAGAAUGGGCUGAAGGUUGGAUUUCUUGUCCCCAUUUCCAUUCCUCCAUGCUCCAGGAGGAAGGGGCGCAUGCUGC